Long non-coding RNA from Daucus carota subsp. sativus, 707 nucleotides. RefSeq lists it as uncharacterized. Lineage: Eukaryota; Viridiplantae; Streptophyta; Magnoliopsida; Apiales; Apiaceae. The record is from RefSeq and is a predicted model, not a curated record. The transcript has 4 exons.
UUACAUAUUCUAAUCCUAACCCCUUUAUGGCUGCGCUAUAAAUAUCCAGAUUCAUAUUAUAUCACGGAGGUAGAAACGAGAGAGGAGAGAAGAAAAUGGCGUUUCCAAGACCCUUCAAGCGACUGAACCAGUUUUUCCGGGAACAUAGGACACUGGAUCGAACGUUGAGCAUAGGGUAUUAUGUCGCAAUUGGCUCGGCAUUUUGGAUUGGUGCUGGGCCCGACAAGACAGAGGAUGUCGAAACUCGUUCCAGACCCUGACUACUAAAUCCGAUGUACUUCAGGUUCCACGUCUUCUUAAAGCUAAAAAGUCUUCUCCCAUGGAGGUGACCGUACACUAACUAUUGCAUAAUGAUAUUUAUCAACAUAGAUCAAUACUAUGUAUAUGGAUGCCAGGCUAGCCUUUUAUCAAACUUGUGGUCCAAUAGUCCUGAAUUACUUUUUAGGGACAGCAAGACAAACCUCUCAGUGAUUACCGGAGUCAAGUAUGCAGCUCUAAUGCUUGUGGGAAUUUGUAAUUAUUUAUCUGUACAACAACCAGUAGUUAGAGUUAAAAGAACAGUUUUUUUUUUUAUCGAGAAAUAGUAGAUAGGAUGUACUCUGCAAUACCUAAUGCCUUGGUUUAGCUAAACAUUUUCUUUAUUAAUGGUUGCUAUUUCAAACAUUUGCAAACUUUUGUAGCAGAAAGGGACUACACUUUUAUGGUAA